GGAUCCAGACUUUGAUUAUGGCUCAGGAUGAACGCUAGCUACAGGCUUAACACAUGCAAGUCGAGGGGAAACGAUAUUGGAAGCUUGCUUCCGAUAGGCGUCGACCGGCGCACGGGUGAGUAACGCGUAUCCAACCUGCCCAUCACUUGGGGAUAACCUUGCGAAAGUAAGACUAAUACCCAAUGACGUUUCUAGAAGACAUCUGAAAGAGAUUAAAGAUUCAUCGGUGAUGGAUGGGGAUGCGUCUGAUUAGCUUGUUGGCGGGGUAACGGCCCACCAAGGCGACGAUCAGUAGGGGUUCUGAGAGGAAGGUCCCCCACAUUGGAACUGAGACACGGUCCAAACUCCUACGGGAGGCAGCAGUGAGGAAUAUUGGUCAAUGGGCGAGAGCCUGAACCAGCCAAGUAGCGUGCAGGAUGACGGCCCUAUGGGUUGUAAACUGCUUUUAUAAGGGAAUAAAGUGAGCCUCGUGAGGCUUUUUGCAUGUACCUUAUGAAUAAGGACCGGCUAAUUCCGUGCCAGCAGCCGCGGUAAUACGGAAGGUCCGGGCGUUAUCCGGAUUUAUUGGGUUUAAAGGGAGCGUAGGCCGGAGAUUAAGCGUGUUGUGAAAUGUAGAUGCUCAACAUCUGCACUGCAGCGCGAACUGGUUUCCUUGAGUACGCACAAAGUGGGCGGAAUUCGUGGUGUAGCGGUGAAAUGCUUAGAUAUCACGAAGAACUCCGAUUGCGAAGGCAGCUCACUGGAGCGCAACUGACGCUGAAGCUCGAAAGUGCGGGUAUCGAACAGGAUUAGAUACCCUGGUAGUCCGCACGGUAAACGAUGGAUGCCCGCUGUUGGUCUGAAUAGGUCAGCGGCCAAGCGAAAGCAUUAAGCAUCCCACCUGGGGAGUACGCCGGCAACGGUGCAACUCAAAGGAAUUGACGG
RNAcentral lists this ribosomal RNA (924 nucleotides) under uncultured Bacteroidota bacterium. Its description in RNAcentral is "bacterial SSU rRNA". It matches the Rfam family "Bacterial small subunit ribosomal RNA", at positions 1 to 916 of the family's 1533-position model. The record is from RNAcentral. Lineage: Bacteria; Pseudomonadati; Bacteroidota.